AGCUAUAGGAUACAGCAACAGCCUUUUAAGCUGUAGAUAGGUGACCUCCUCCCACCCUCAUCGA
RNAcentral lists this transfer RNA (64 nucleotides) under Allobates conspicuus. RNAcentral's name for it is "tRNA-Lys". Lineage: Eukaryota; Metazoa; Chordata; Amphibia; Anura; Aromobatidae. The record is from RNAcentral.